GCGGGGCCAGGCACCUCCUCGGCUUCCCGCAGGGCCCGCCCCUCCCCAGGGUUCCUGCGCCGCCGUGGAGCUGGGCGGGCAGAGGUGUACCCCCCAGGCUCCCCAGCAACCUGCGACACCGGCCGCCGGGGAGAGCGGGCCUGCAACGUGACCUCCGCUCCGAGGCGCCUCCCGCUGCCCGCUCGGCGGCCGCGCUCCCCGCCCCGGUCUCGGAGUCCGGGAAGCGGGUCGGCAGACUUGCCGAGUGGGAGCCGCGCGGCGUCCGAGGAGCCAGCCGCGACCGCUCUUAAGCAUAUCUCCAAGUGGAAGGAAUGUCUUCUCUGGAAGCCUUGGGCCUUGCUGCUGUUGGAGGAGAAAAAAGGAAGGCGGAGGGCCAUUCUGUUGCCUGAAUUCCACUCGCCAUCCUCACCUCCCAGAAUAGGGCUGGAAUCUUUCCAAGACCUACGUGCGUCUGCUGGAUGACUCUGGGACAGGCCCAUAAGGGAACCCCAGAUCAGAAGAGGAUAAUGGGUAACGGCUACCUCAAAGACUACUGGCAGGAUGAAAAGGGGUCACAUCCACAAAUAUGUAGCGGUGGGAGAAAGUUUUGAGUGGUCACAACCCCAAGGCCCAACCAGUUCUACAUGAGCAUUACAGACAUCCACUUCCCAAAAGAGCAGGUGGGUUUCUCUGGAGUGGGUGGCCAGUUGCUAGAGCCUUGGAAAAGGCUCCUGCGUGGUUUUGGUGGCAUGAAGUCAGGUGGACACAACCUUACAAUCAGAGCACUCCAGAGACCUUGAGGUGGGCUACCUUUGGUAAGAUGUUACAGGAUUUGGAAAGGUUAUAUAGACAAGUGCUAUCCAAUAGAAAUGAAAAAUAACUUGUAAUUUAAAUUUUUUAAAAAUAGGUGAAAUUUUAAUAGAAUGC
Molecule: long non-coding RNA, 906 nt
Filed under: Urocitellus parryii (Arctic ground squirrel)
Lineage: Eukaryota; Metazoa; Chordata; Mammalia; Rodentia; Sciuridae
Description: lncRNA (ENSUPAG00010003486.1)
Source: RNAcentral